Molecule: long non-coding RNA, 1670 nt
Organism: Sinocyclocheilus grahami
Lineage: Eukaryota; Metazoa; Chordata; Actinopteri; Cypriniformes; Cyprinidae
Source: Ensembl
GUAACUCUCAUUUAUAUUUACAGAGGAGCCUCAAUCAGACACCUUAGCAGAAGAAAACACCUUUGUGUUCUCACAAAGUCCAAUUUCCCAGUCUCCUCUUACUCGGACUCAAAGUCCUUCUGAUCAGUUUCAAUCAAUAGAAGAUUUUCUAGAAAACUACAAUGGUCGAAAGCCUCUUAUCGGUGAGUGUAUCUGCAUACUAUGUAAUCUAGCAAAAUAAUCACAUACAAAAGAUGAUGCAUUGAUUUAAAUUCACUGCACCAAACUGUGUGUGAGCAUGUUUGUCACAGGUCUACAAGCUGUUAUUAAGUGCCAGAGCGUGGAUGGGAAUCCACCUCCAUGCUGUUACCUGUGUCAGCUGUGCUCUUUGAAGCUGAAGAAGAAAAAAAUAUUCAGCCAUCUGACUGGCUGUGAUCACCAGCGAAACUACUUAAAAGCUCUCCAUCCACAGCUCUUGCCUAAAAAGCGUAAACACUGCAACACAAAUGAGAUGCUUGAGGAUAUUGCUAUCCAGCUGGAGAAAGAGGGUGGAAGAGGACAUAUAAAGGUGAUGAGGUUGUCUGCAUGUCUCAUAAGUGAGGUACUGGAAAAGGAUUAUCAUUGGUGUAAGUACAGCAGAUGAAAGCACAAUACAUAAUUGUUAUACUUCAUCAGUGAGGGACAAAACUGCCGCCUCACUAUAUUAUUUAUUAUAUGCAUAAUUUCUUUAUCAAAAGGCAUGAGGGUGUUGAACUGUGGAGCCGAGGUGGGGUGGAGAUCAGGUCUGUUGUCUUUCAAGGAAGGAACUAAAAACACUACAGGUCCCAGUCAUACUCUUAAACGGCCAGCAGAGUCUGUGCUGCCCCCUUCUGAUAACAACACCACUGGUCCCAGUCAGACUCUUAAACAUCCAGCAGAGUCUAUGCUGCCCCCUUCUGAUGCACGGGCUUUUAUAGCUCCUGCUGGAGCUCCAACCCAUCAGAUGUCCAAAAAAAUGAAGAAGGGUCAUCCUAAGAAAGUAGUAUGUACAAACAAAGUUAAGGAGCCUGUGUUUAAGGUAAGCCUGUCACUGCAGGAGGGACCUGUUAUCAUUGAGAGAACAUCUCUAAGAGAGACAACCACAGUGGCGCCUGAGAUCGAAGACCAAAGCCCUGCAUCCACAUGCGCAGACAAUGAUGCACUGCCUUUAGCGACUAACACGCAUUCUGAAGUUCAGAUGUGCUUUCACAGCUGUAUGUAUGAGGAACAGUUCACUAAUCCUGUUCAUUAUGCAUACUCAGGGCAGUUUGACCAGUCUCAAGUUAUUCAAUAUUUUGAGCCUUCUCUCAGACCUAGGGACUGUGGUCCAGUGGAUGAGGUGGUCACUGUCAGGUAUGCUGAUUGGCCGCUGCAGGACUGAUCCUGCAAUAACCAGUGGAUUGUAAUGAGGCAAAACGGAUGGAAGUCAUCUUCCUUCUGAGUGUGCAAGUUACAUGCAGUACUGAUGAGAAUGAGUCUUGAAGCAUCUACAAAAAAGAUGAAUCAACAAAAGAGAAGAUGCUGAGAAAUGAUUUGGCAACAGAAUUCUUUCCAAACUGUUUAUUUUAUUUAUUUUUUUUUUUUUUCUGUUCAGAAUUUAUUGGAUUUUUCAUCAGUAUUAUUCAUUUAACUUCCUCCAUCAAAAAUACAUUAUUUGUUAGUUACUUCCUGCC